CCUACGGGUGGCAGCAGUGGGGAAUAUUGCACAAUGGGGGAAACUCUGAUGCAGCGACGUCGCGUGCGUGAAGAAGUAUUUCGGUAUGUAAAGCUCUAUCAGCAGGGAAGAAAAUGACGGUACCUGAUUAAGAAGCCCCGGCUAACUACGUGCCAGCAGCCGUGGUAAUACGUAGGGGGCAAGUGUGAUCCGGAUUUACUGGGGUUAAAGGGAGCGUAGACGGCAGCACAAGUCUGGAGGGAAAUGCCGGGGCUUAACCCCGGAACUGCUUGGCAAACUGUGCAGCUAGAGUGCCGCAGAGGUAAGUGGAAUUCCUAGUGUAGCGGUGAAAUGCGUAGAUAUUAGGAGGAACACCAGUGGCGAAGGCGGCUUACUGGACUGUAACUGACGUUGAGGCUCGAAAGCGUGGGGAGCAAACAGGAUUAGAUACCCCGGUAGUC
RNAcentral lists this ribosomal RNA (440 nucleotides) under uncultured bacterium. Its description in RNAcentral is "partial 16S ribosomal RNA". It matches the Rfam family "Bacterial small subunit ribosomal RNA", at positions 338 to 795 of the family's 1533-position model. The record is from RNAcentral.